RNAcentral lists this ribosomal RNA (174 nucleotides) under uncultured bacterium. Its description in RNAcentral is "partial 16S ribosomal RNA". It matches the Rfam family "Bacterial small subunit ribosomal RNA", at positions 1319 to 1500 of the family's 1533-position model. The record is from RNAcentral.
CGUGAAGCUGGAUUCGCUAGUAAUCGCGCAUCAGCCAUGGCGCGGUGAAUACGUUCCCGGGCCUUGUACACACCGCCCGUCAAGCCAUGGGAGCCGGGAGUGCCUGAAGUCCGUGACCGCGAGGAGCGGCCUAGGGUAAGACCGGUGACUGGGGCUAAGUCGUAACAAGGUAUC